RNAcentral lists this long non-coding RNA (499 nucleotides) under Homo sapiens (human). RNAcentral describes it as "HSALNT0038013". Lineage: Eukaryota; Metazoa; Chordata; Mammalia; Primates; Hominidae. The record is from RNAcentral.
AGCAUUAUUGUAGCAGAAACUUAAAUAAUACUGGGGGCUAAAUAUAGUGGACCAGUGACAGCACAGAAUGGUAAAAUGGAGUGAUUGUUACUUACAUCACAACCCUUCAUCUCUGUUGAUGGACACUAAAAUCAAAGUGGCAAUUACUCAGAGUUGGGAGUCAUUGAGUUGCAUCAUUGUUGUUUGGUUGGGAUUUUGGGAAAUAGUGCAGAGAGAUUAGCAGUAGUGACAUGGAACAAUGUGAGCCUCAGCUUCCAUCCCUGAGGCUGCCUUCAUCUGCCAGGGAAAUGUCUCUGUGUGCAGCCUUGCCCUCUGCACACAGUGUGUAUGGCCACCUGAAUAAGUGUCCUUUCAUAGCGACUAAUGGAUUGAAAUGGGUGCUAGAGCGUAUUAGAUCAUUCCAGUGGAAACAUGUAUGAGUGAUGGAAUGAACAGAUAUAAUUAAUCCAGGUCUGGUAAGUGAGGUACUGAUACAUAUUAAGUUGAAGUGAAUUUCACA